UGGGGAAUAUUGCACAAUGGAGGGAACUCUGAUGCAGCGACGCCGCGUGAACGAAGAAGGCUUUCGAGUCGUAAAGUUCUUUUAUAUGGGAAGAUAAUGACGGUACCAUAAGAAAAAGCUCCGGCUAACUACGUGCCAGCAGCCGCGGUAAUACGUAGGGGGCUAGCGUUGUCCGGAAUCACUGGGCGUAAAGGGUUCGCAGGCGGAAAUGCAAGUCAGGUGUAAAAGGCAGUAGCUUAACUACUGUAAGCAUUUGAAACUGCAUAUCUUGAGAAGAGUAGAGGUAAGUGGAAUUUUUAGUGUAGCGGUGAAAUGCGUAGAUAUUAAAAAGAAUACCGGUGGCGAAGGCGACUUACUGGGCUCAUUCUGACGCUGAGGAACGAAAGCGUGGGUAGCAAACAG
RNAcentral lists this ribosomal RNA (402 nucleotides) under Fusobacteriota bacterium. RNAcentral describes it as "Fusobacteria bacterium partial 16S ribosomal RNA". It matches the Rfam family "Bacterial small subunit ribosomal RNA", at positions 355 to 775 of the family's 1533-position model. The record is from RNAcentral. Lineage: Bacteria; Fusobacteriati; Fusobacteriota.